This 497-nucleotide ribosomal RNA is filed under the name uncultured bacterium. Its description in RNAcentral is "partial 16S ribosomal RNA". It matches the Rfam family "Bacterial small subunit ribosomal RNA", at positions 28 to 507 of the family's 1533-position model. The record is from RNAcentral.
GAUGAACGCUGGCGGCGUGCCUAAUACAUGCAAGUCGAGCGAACGGACGAGAAGCUUGCUUCUCUGAUGUUAGCGGCGGACGGGUGAGUAACACGUGGAUAACCUACCUAUAAGACUGGGAUAACUUCGGGAAACCGGAGCUAAUCCCGGAUAAUAUUUUGAACCGCAUGGUUCAAAAGUGAAUGACGGUCUUGCUGUCACUUAUAGAUGGAUCCGCGCUGCAUUAGCUAGUUGGUAAGGUAACGGCUUACCAAGGCAACGAUGCAUAGCCGACCUGAGAGGGUGAUCGGCCACACUGGAACUGAGACACGGUCCAGACUCCUACGGGAGGCAGCGGUAGGGAAUCUUCCGCAAUGGGCGAAAGCCUGACGGAGCAACGCCGCGUGAGUGAUGAAGGUCUUCGGAUCGUAAAACUCUGUUAUUAGGGAAGAACAUAUGUGUAAGUAACUGUGCACAUCUUGACGGUACCUAAUCAGAAAGCCACGGCUAACUACGUG